Molecule: ribosomal RNA, 251 nt
Filed under: uncultured bacterium
Lineage: Bacteria
Description: partial 16S ribosomal RNA
Rfam family: Bacterial small subunit ribosomal RNA
Source: RNAcentral
AUCCUGGCUCAGGAUGAACGCUAGCUACAGGCUUAACACAUGCAAGUCGAGGGGCAGCAUUUUAGUUUGCUUGCAAACUGAAGAUGGCGACCGGCGCACGGGUGAGUAACACGUAUCCAACCUGCCGAUAACUCCGGAAUAGCCUUUCGAAAGAAAGAUUAAUACCGGAUAGCAUACGAAUAUCGCAUGAUAUUUUUAUUAAAGAAUUUCGGUUAUCGAUGGGGAUGCGUUCCAUUAGUUUGUUGGCGGGG